Aedes albopictus (Asian tiger mosquito) is the source of this 1958-nucleotide RNA transcript. RefSeq lists it as uncharacterized. The record is from RefSeq and is a predicted model, not a curated record. The transcript is spliced from 3 exons. Lineage: Eukaryota; Metazoa; Arthropoda; Insecta; Diptera; Culicidae.
UCAUCAGUAGUCAUUCUUUUGUUUUGAUUUACCGGCGCGCAUGUUGCGUGCUCACAGUUUAAAAAAAAUAGUGAUAAAAAGUCCCUAAAAUCACCGUAAAUAUUACUAAAAAUGUCCAGUUCUGAAUCGGAAGAUGAGAACAUCAAACGGUUCUUGGAGGCAGCCGAUACGACUCUCAUCAGCGAUGCUAUGUUCCAGGGAAUUUCCGCUAAAACGCAGAGCGAGCCUAAACAAGAUAACAUUGUACAAAUCGCGAGUGAAUGCCCCAAAUCCAACCGUUACUUGGUGGACGAAGAAAACGUCUUUCAAAGCGAUGUCAACGUAACGGAGUCGAUGAAAAAGUUUGUCGGCAAAAAAUUAUCGUCAAUAAUUGAGAAAAACAUUGAUUUCGUUGAUAUAAAGGGUGGUAAGUUGCACAAACAUAGAAACAAGUCGGCUGAUUCCUCCGGAGUCAAACUUCUACGAGAUUGUGAUUCAUAUUUGAAAACCGUGGAUGCCGUGGAAGAUGUCCCUCCGCCACAGGGCAACAAACAUAGGAAGUCAAUAAAGAAACGUAUGGUGGAACCGGAUGUUUCUAGCGAGAAAGAAAAGCUUAGCCAGGUUGUUAUCGAGCCAGGUUCCAUUGCAGCUUUGAGCAAAUGUUGGACCAACAGACCGAAGACCGUCGUCUAUGAGUACAAAACUGUAGGUUCGAUAAAGUUGUUGCAAGAACCUAGCAAUGAGUUUACCAAAGCGAAGCGUAAAAACCAGUGGGAUGAGUCAAAAUAGCGAAAUAUGGGAAGAAACUUAAAGAGCGGUAGGUUGAGCCCCAUUGCAUUAAGCUCAUAAAACCAACGAAAAUACGACGGGGCACUAGACUAAGACGAUGGUGAUCAAUUUCAUGACAAGCCUUAGCCCUACCAGGAGUGUGAAGAAUUGAAAAGAAACUUUCAGCUCAGUGAGCCCAAUGUAACUUACACUACCCGUCAGACUCACAAAAAGUUUUGCAACAAUAUUGCAUCAUCCUGACUCACCUCAAUAUCUCCAAAACCUGAAGACUUACAAAGAUGCUGUUUUCAGCAAAGUUAUUUAGAAGCCCAAAAGCAACAACUUUUCUGAAGGCGGCAUUUUUGUCUAGGUGUUUCGGUUUCAGAGAUAUCGAGGUGAGUCAGAGGAUUCUAUAUCAUUCCCCAGAAAACCAUUUCCCAGAAUGUAUAAUUCCCCAGAAAAGCUUUAUAUACUCUUCUAAAUAGUAAAAUGCAAUACAUAAACAGUACAAUGUUGAUCAUAAUGGCAAAGAUUUUAACAUUAUAGUGUUUUUACGCGCGAAGUUUCAUUUCUUAUACGGUAUAUGUAACAAAUUGAAGUAAUUUAUUGAUGAACACAUAUCCAUAAAAAUAUUCCACAAUGGUUCGAACGUUUGAUUAUCAUCGUAAUUGAACCUAUUUUGAAAGCUCACAAACUGUCAUUAUUCCAUAAAUCCCAUUUUAUUAUUAUAAAAUGUUUCGUUCUUGACAGAUUUGACCAGCAGUUUGAACGUGAUACAUUUUAGAACGCAGUGAAUAACGUUUUAAAUGUGAUGUGCAAAAUUUACAGAGAAAACGCAUUUUCUACUGAUGUUUUAUUCAGUGUAUAAGAUGUUUGUGGACCAGUUCAUUUGUGGCCGGUUAUAUUCAAAAGAUUAUUCUGCCGAAAACUUUGGAUUACUCGGAAAGUCUCAACUGACCACGUUUUUAUACGUAAACUAGCUGUACCCGGCAAACUUUGUCUUGCCUACUGCGUUUUUUGACGUUUCAAGUUUCUAGCCAAGACCAAGUCCCCGGUCAAAAAGGUAUGAGAAACCGAUUUUCGAAAACUCUCAAUUCUUCCAUGUUUUAGGCCUCAUAAACCUUCCUUGGGUGAAAACUAACAGAACAAAACUUAGACGACCAAAAUUGGACCUUCCGUUCGCAAGUUAUGCGCGGUCCCACGUAUGCCAC